Sinocyclocheilus grahami is the source of this 91-nucleotide long non-coding RNA. RefSeq lists it as uncharacterized. NCBI's taxonomy places the organism in Eukaryota, Metazoa, Chordata, Actinopteri, Cypriniformes, Cyprinidae. The record is from RefSeq and is a predicted model, not a curated record. The transcript is spliced from 3 exons.
GAGCACUCAGAAGUGGGGUAAUCCAUCAAAAGUUGUGACACGUUUAAGGGACGCACCAAUGACGCGCAGGCUAUCAUACAUGCACACACAC